UACGUAGGUGGCAAGCGUUGUCUGGAUUUAUUGGGUUUAAAGGGUGCGUAGGCGGCUUUGUAAGUCAGUGGUGAAAUAUGGCAGCUCAACUGUCAAGGUGCCAUUGAUACUGCGGAGCUUGAGUACAGAUGAGGUAGGCGGAAUUGACGGUGUAGCGGUGAAAUGCUUAGAUAUCGUCAAGAACACCUAUAGCGAAGGCAGCUUACUAGGCUGUAACUGACGCUGAGGCACGAAAGUGUGGGGAUCAAACAGG
RNAcentral lists this ribosomal RNA (253 nucleotides) under uncultured bacterium. RNAcentral describes it as "partial 16S ribosomal RNA". It matches the Rfam family "Bacterial small subunit ribosomal RNA", at positions 524 to 776 of the family's 1533-position model. The record is from RNAcentral.